GAUGAACGCUGGCGGCGUGCCUAAUACAUGCAAGUCGAGCGAACGGACGAGAAGCUUGCUUCUCUGAUGUUAGCGGCGGAAGGGUGAGUAACACGUGGAUAACCUACCUAUAAGACUGGGAUAACUUCGGGAAACCGGAGCUAAUACCGGAUGAUUAUUUGAACAGCAUGGUUCAAAAGUGAAAGACGGUCUUGCUGUCACUUAUAGAUGUAUCCGCGCUGCAUUAGCUAGUUGGUAAGGUAACGGCUUAACAAGGCAACGAUGCAUAGCCGACCUGAGAGGGUGAUCGGCCACACUGGAACUGAGACACGGUCCAGACUCCUAAGGGAGGCAGCAGUAGGGAAUCUUCCGCAAUGGGCGGAAGCCUGACGGAGCAACGCCGCGUGAGUGAUGAAGGUCUUCGGAUCGUAAAACUCUGUUAUUAGGGAAGAACAUAUGUGUAAGUAACUGUGCACAUCUUGACGGUACCUAAUCAGAAAGCCACGGCUAACUACGUG
Molecule: ribosomal RNA, 497 nt
Filed under: uncultured bacterium
Lineage: Bacteria
Description: partial 16S ribosomal RNA
Rfam family: Bacterial small subunit ribosomal RNA
Source: RNAcentral